This is a long non-coding RNA of Vidua chalybeata, 437 nucleotides long. RefSeq lists it as uncharacterized. NCBI's taxonomy places the organism in Eukaryota, Metazoa, Chordata, Aves, Passeriformes, Viduidae. The transcript is spliced from 2 exons. The record is from RefSeq and is a predicted model, not a curated record.
GCCCGCCGCGGUCGCGCCCGGAUGGGUGACCCGAGAGCCCCGCACGGGCACCGUCGGCGCGGCACCCGCUCCGUCCCGGGACACAGCGGGACAGGCCGGCUGGGAAAGCUGAGUUGCCUGAGGGAAAACAACACAAGGAACUAACAAAAUCGCUCCCGGCCGGCUGCCAGCCCGCGUCCCGCUCCCGCCGCUGCACCCGGUCGUCACCCGUCGCUGCCCACCUGGGCUCCUGUGGUUCUGAAGGCAUGGCCUGAACCCGCAGCGCAGCCGGUGACACAGAGAGCAGAGGGGCAGCCCACCGGCCCGCAGAAGGCACACGAGAGCUGCCAAGAGUCACCUCCGGCCCUCUGGGGAACUGGGCAAGAACAAACGUCUGCAUCCUCUUUUUGGAAGUCCUCCAGCUGACACCGAACAUGCUCACGAUGACCAAAAGCAGA